GUACUGGAAGGUCCUCAGGCCGAAAGGGGCUCUGCCCGCCCGAGGAUGGGCCGGCGGCCGAUUAGGUAGUUGGUGGGGUAACGGCCCACCAAGCCGAAGAUCGGUACGGGCCAUGAGAGUGGGAGCCCGGAGAUGGACACUGAGACACGGGUCCAGGCCCUACGGGGCGCAGCAGGCGCGAAACCUCCGCAAUGCGGGCAACCGCGACGGGGGGACCCCCAGUGCCGUGGCAACGCCACGGCUUUUCCGGAGUGUAAAAAGCUCCGGGAAUAAGGGCUGGGCAAGGCCGGUGGCAGCCGCCGCGGUAAUACCGGCGGCCCGAGUGGUGGCCGCUAUUAUUGGGCCUAAAGCGUCCGUAGCCGGGCCCGUAAGUCCCUGGCGAAAUCCCACGGCUCAACCGUGGGGCUUGCUGGGGAUACUGCGGGCCUUGGGACCGGGAGAGGCCGGGGGUACCCCUGGGGUAGGGGUGAAAUCCUAUAAUCCCAGGGGGACCGCCAGUGGCGAAGGCGCCCGGCUGGAACGGGUCCGACGGUGAGGGACGAAGGCCAGGGGAGCGAACCGGAUUAGAUACCCGGGUAGUCCUGGCUGUAAAGGAUGCGGGCUAGGUGUCGGGCGAGCUUCGAGCUCGCCCGGUGCCGAAGGG
RNAcentral lists this ribosomal RNA (643 nucleotides) under uncultured archaeon. RNAcentral describes it as "bacterial SSU rRNA". It matches the Rfam family "Archaeal small subunit ribosomal RNA", at positions 167 to 808 of the family's 1478-position model. The record is from RNAcentral.